RNAcentral lists this ribosomal RNA (484 nucleotides) under uncultured bacterium. Its description in RNAcentral is "partial 16S ribosomal RNA". It matches the Rfam family "Bacterial small subunit ribosomal RNA", at positions 30 to 507 of the family's 1533-position model. The record is from RNAcentral.
AUUGAACGCUGGCGGCAGGCCUUACACAUGCAAGUCGAGCGGUAACAGGCCGCUUGCUCCUGGCUUCUGCCGCACACGGGUGUGAUACGCCUAGGCAUGCGCCUGGGUGUGGGGGAAAUAGUCCGGAAACGGGCGCUUAUACCGCAUACGCUCUGGGGGAGAAAGUGGGGGCUCAUCGCACCUCACGCUAUCAGCUGCGCCUAUGUCGGAUUAGAUAGUUGGUGGGGUAAAGGCAUACCAAGGCGACGAUCCGUAACUGGUCUGAGAGGAUGAACAGCCACACUGGGACUGAGACACGGCCCAGACUCCUACGGGAGGCAGCAGUGGGGAAUAUUGGACAAUGGGCGCAAGCCUGAUCCAGCCAUGCCGCGUGUAGGAAGAAGGUCUUCGGGUUGUAAAGUGCUUUAGGAUGGAAGGAAACGGAUUUAGUUAAUACCUGGCGGUAAUGACGUUACCGUCAGAAUAAGCACCGGCUAACUUCGUG